RNAcentral lists this ribosomal RNA (253 nucleotides) under uncultured bacterium. Its description in RNAcentral is "partial 16S ribosomal RNA". It matches the Rfam family "Bacterial small subunit ribosomal RNA", at positions 524 to 776 of the family's 1533-position model. The record is from RNAcentral.
UACGUAUGGUGCAAGCGUUAUCCGGAUUUACUGGGUGUAAAGGGAGCGCAGGCGGCACGGCAAGCCUGAUGUGAAGGCCCGCGGCCCAACCGCGGGACUGCAUUGGGAACUACCGGGCUGGAGUGCCGGAGAGGUAGGCGGAAUUCCUAGUGUAGCGGUGAAAUGCGUAGAUAUUAGGAGGAACACCAGUGGCGAAGGCGGCCUACUGGACGGUGACUGACGCUGAGGCUCGAAAGCGUGGGGAGCAAACAGG